AAUUAAAUAAACAAACAAAAAUAAAUAAAAAUAAAUAAAAAAAAAAUAAAAAAAUGAAAAAAAAGAAUUUUUUUUUAUAGUUUCAGAUUAUAUGUUUCAGAUUCGAAAUUUUUAUAAAUUUUUUUUUAUUUCUUUUUCAAAAUUUUUUUUUUAUUUUUUUCGAAAUUUUUAUUUUUUUCGAAAUUUUUAUUUUUUAUUAGUAUUUAUUCUUUAUAAAAUUUUAAACCCUAAUUCCGAAACCCCACCCCUUAACUCUAAACCCUAAGGUUUGGAUUAAUUAACCCAAAGAUUAUAAGUGUAUAUUUACCUCUUUAAUGAAACUUAUUUUGUGACUUUGAGCCUUGAA
Molecule: long non-coding RNA, 346 nt
Filed under: Brassica rapa (field mustard)
Lineage: Eukaryota; Viridiplantae; Streptophyta; Magnoliopsida; Brassicales; Brassicaceae
Description: long non-coding RNA (BRAP_LNC004517)
Source: RNAcentral